This 253-nucleotide ribosomal RNA is filed under the name uncultured bacterium. RNAcentral's name for it is "partial 16S ribosomal RNA". It matches the Rfam family "Bacterial small subunit ribosomal RNA", at positions 524 to 776 of the family's 1533-position model. The record is from RNAcentral.
UACGUAGGGCGCAAGCGUUGUCCGGAAUUAUUGGGCGUAAAGAGCUUGUAGGCGGUUUGUCGCGUCUGCCGUGAAAUUUCGGGGCUCAACCCCGAACUUGCGGUGGGUACGGGCAGACUAGAGUGUGGUAGGGGAGACUGGAAUUCCUGGUGUAGCGGUGAAAUGCGCAGAUAUCAGGAGGAACACCGAUGGCGAAGGCAGGUCUCUGGGCCACUACUGACGCUGAGAAGCGAAAGCAUGGGGAGCGAACAGG